This 496-nucleotide ribosomal RNA is filed under the name uncultured bacterium. RNAcentral's name for it is "partial 16S ribosomal RNA". It matches the Rfam family "Bacterial small subunit ribosomal RNA", at positions 29 to 507 of the family's 1533-position model. The record is from RNAcentral.
AUGAACGCUGGCGGCGUGCCUAAUCCAUGCCCGUCGAGCGAACAGACGAGGAGCUUGCUCCUCUGACGUUAGCGGCGGACGGGUGAGUAACACGUGGAUAACCUACCUAUAAGACUGGGAUAACUUCGGGAAACCGGAGCUAAUACCGGAUAAUAUAUUGAACCGCAUGGUUCAAUAGUGAAAGACGGUUUUGCUGUCACUUAUAGAUGGAUCCGCGCCGCAUUAGCUAGUUGGUAAGGUAACGGCUUACCAAGGCGACGAUGCGUAGCCGACCUGAGAGGGUGAUCGGCCACACUGGAACUGAGACACGGUCCAGACUCCUACGGGAGGCAGCAGUAGGGAAUCUUCCGCAAUGGGCGAAAGCCUGACGGAGCAACGCCGCGUGAGUGAUGAAGGUCUUCGGAUCGUAAAACUCUGUUAUUAGGGAAGAACAAAUGUGUAAGUAACUAUGCACGUCUUGACGGUACCUAAUCAGAAAGCCACGGCUAACUACGUG